UACGAAGGGGGCUAGCGUUGUUCGGAAUUACUGGGCGUAAAGCGCACGUAGGCGGAUAUUUAAGUCAGGGGUGAAAUCCCGGGGCUCAACCCCGGAACUGCCUUUGAUACUGGGUAUCUCGAGUCCGAGAGAGGUGAGUGGAAUUCCGAGUGUAGAGGUGAAAUUCGUAGAUAUUCGGAGGAACACCAGUGGCGAAGGCGGCUCACUGGGUCGGUACUGACGCUGAGGUGCGAAAGCGUGGGGAGCAAACAGG
RNAcentral lists this ribosomal RNA (253 nucleotides) under uncultured bacterium. Its description in RNAcentral is "partial 16S ribosomal RNA". It matches the Rfam family "Bacterial small subunit ribosomal RNA", at positions 524 to 776 of the family's 1533-position model. The record is from RNAcentral.